UACGUAGGGGGCUAGCGUUAUCCGGAAUUACUGGGCGUAAAGGGUGCGUAGGUGGUUUCUUAGGUCAGAGGUGAAAGGCUACGGCUCAACCGUAGUAAGCCUUUGAAACUGGGAAACUUGAGUGCAGGAGAGGAGAGUGGAAUUCCUAGUGUAGCGGUGAAAUGCGUAGAUAUUAGGAGGAACACCAGUUGCGAAGGCGGCUCUCUGGACUGUAACUGACACUGAGGCACGAAAGCGUGGGGAGCAAACAGGAUUAGAUACCCCGGUAGUCCCUGAGCGGG
Molecule: ribosomal RNA, 281 nt
Filed under: uncultured prokaryote
Description: partial 16S ribosomal RNA
Rfam family: Bacterial small subunit ribosomal RNA
Source: RNAcentral